GAUACCAAAAUUCCGAUCAGUUUUCUGAAGCUUGGGUUUGAUUAUGUUCGGCUUCGUUCUGCUCCUCGCCUUCCUGUUCACAAGAUUCGGUUUUCUCAGCUUUGGUUCACAAGAUUCGCCUUCCUGUUUACUUGGAUUUUCUCUUUUAUUUAAUUUUUUUCGCCUUUGCUGACAACAUCUUUGGUGGGACUACAAUUCCAGAUUCGUAUAGCAACAUGUCUAAACUGUUCAAGUUGUAAGUGCUGCUUCUGAUUCUAUGUCUUCUCGUAAGUUUAAAGGAGUUUGAGGAACUGCAACUUACAAGGGCCUAUUCCUGAUUUUAGUAGGAUUCCAAACCUUGGUUAUGCACAGGUUCAAGUUUAAAUGUGUAAAAAGUGUACCCACUUUUUAUUCAUGAUGGUCAAGAUGGGACACGUAUCUGGGCAAUGUUGGGAUGUCUAGGCUUGGGUGGAGACGUGGACUUACGGUAGUGGUGAAGUAGCUUAGCUCUAUCUCAUUAGCUCUCAUCUGUUCUGUUUAAGCUCAUUGGUGCUGGCUGUGAGGUUUUUCGAAACUUUCAAUUUUCGAGAUCUGAAGCUUAGAAUCCCAUUCAA
Molecule: long non-coding RNA, 593 nt
Organism: Pyrus x bretschneideri (Chinese white pear)
Lineage: Eukaryota; Viridiplantae; Streptophyta; Magnoliopsida; Rosales; Rosaceae
Exons: 3
Source: RefSeq, a predicted model, not a curated record